Molecule: microRNA, 21 nt
Filed under: Gallus gallus (chicken)
Lineage: Eukaryota; Metazoa; Chordata; Aves; Galliformes; Phasianidae
Description: gga-miR-1682
Source: miRBase by way of RNAcentral
UGGGUCAGAUGGAGCUGAGGG